CACGUAGGCGGUUUGUUAAGUCGGAUGUGAAAGCCCCGGGCUCAACCUGGGAAUUGCAUUCGAUACUGGCAAACUAGAGUAUAGAAGAGGCAAGUGGAAUUCCGGGUGUAGCGGUGAAAUGCGUAGAUAUCCGGAGGAACAUCAGUGGCGAAGGCGACUUGCUGGUCUAAUACUGACGCUGAGGUGCGAAAGCGUGGGGAGCAAACG
Molecule: ribosomal RNA, 207 nt
Filed under: uncultured bacterium
Lineage: Bacteria
Description: partial 16S ribosomal RNA
Rfam family: Bacterial small subunit ribosomal RNA
Source: RNAcentral